GACCCCCGUGACGGGUACCCACGGGUACCCGGGCCCUCACCGCCACCAGGAGGAGAGGGCUGGUUGCCCUAACCCGCCAUCCCAGCGGAGAUCUUCAGGACACUUUUCUCCCAUUGCAGAGAGCAUUUCUCACAGGCAGCUCGUUCCGCCCGCUCCAACCCUGGGCAGGAAGCCGGCGGCUGAUCUGACCCUGCUUCAGAGCGGCUCGAUUGCUCUCUCGUGAAGGACCCAAGUGUUGUUCCUGUGCCUGGUAGACGUUCAGGAAAAGCUCAGCCCCCACCAAAGACAAACCCUGCCCCUGCCCCUCACGCUCUGGUUUGGAGGGAAGAUGCCUGGUUCCUCGUCAAGAUGCAGAGUUUCCACAUCCCGUUUCUUCCUGCUCCUUUCCAUAAACUUUGACUUAUUGGGUGCAAACGGUCGUGUGUAAAACCUCCAAACACAUCUGACUUGGAGUCAAAUCCACGAGCAGCUCCGGGAUCCCGGACUUUGCCAUCGUUGGUUCCUGCAUAUUUGAGCAUCUGACACGAGUUUCCAGGGUGCCUUUGCUAAGUCAGUAGGAACGGUUCUGUCCGGUGGCUUAACGUCCAAUGAAAGGCAGCCGUUCCCACCGCAGCUCCUUUGGGUCUGUUUCGGAUCAGGAAAUGCUGUGCUGUUUCAAAUGAAACUAUUUCUACUGUGGGCCCAGAAAAACUCUGCCUCUUGCUUUUUCUUUGGGAUCGUUUGGUCUCUGAUUCCAGUCCUGUUCUGUAGCAGGCAAUUCACUUCUCUGCUUGCCAGCAGUUUUUUGUGGUUUUUUUCCCUGUCCAAAAUCCAUUUAAAGAACACGUAAAUGUCCCAGGUCUGUGCAAACCUGGCAAAAUCCUGUUUUAAAGGAACCAUGUUUGGGUCCUCUGACAGUCCUUCCUGGCAUCCUUGAUAAGGGAGAUUUUCAUGCCUCACUUAUUUCUCAGAAUGUUGAUUUUCAACCACACUGAAAUCGCAGUUACUCUUUGUGAAGUAACUUUAUGAGUCAACACUGUAACUUUAAAAUCCCAACAUCUCUCUCCCUGGUCACCAAAGUCCUUUUGUACUAUUUGCCCCUAAAUCAGGGUCAUUAACAGAAAACCUGGUGGUCUAGCCAGGAAGAGCCUGGGUGCCAGGACCUCUGAUGGAGCAGCGUGGCCACAGGUAACAGACCUCAACCUCACCUGACCUGUGAGACAAAGGAUGUACCACCUCACUUCUUACCAUAAAGGGUUAAGUAUCUAGUUUUUAUUCAACUCACUGUUAUGGCUAAUCAAUAAUUGAAAGAUUUCUGGAAUGUCUCCUGUGGAUGGUUCUUCACCAUGGUGUGGAUUUGCGUGUGAUGAAGAACCGUAGUUUAAAUUGAUUUACGUUCCUCUAAAAAACAAGUUAAGGACUAUCCUCCGCCUAUUUCAGAAAGUGCUUUGACACUGGACCCGAGAGUCCUGGCAGAGCUUUCUGGAACGGUCAAGCUUCUUCCUACAUCAUUGCAACAGUGGACUUCAAAAACCAGGAAAAUAUUUUCUAAAACGUCUGACCUUCAGCCUCUCCUGGCAGUACUCUUUGUACCUCAAAACAUCUCUUAAAACUCUGGGCCAUCCUCACGGCACAAAUAUUUUUUGGAAACUUCUGCACAGUUAGAUGCUGAGCAAUUACUCUAUAACUGCACCAGAUCAUUCAUGCGCCUCCUGCAGGGAUGGACCAGGGGCAAGUUAACCGCCAGAUGUCCAAAACAUUCAUCUAGCUGUCCUGGCAUUCAGGUGGCCUCACCAUAACCGGGCUCCCCGACCUUGUUGACCUUCUGUGGACUCAGCUCUCUCUCCCACCUUUGUCUGUGGCGUGUCUAUUUCCCUACAUCGAUAUUGGUCCCUUGAGUCCCCAGGACUUGCUAAAAUCAGUUGAAGGAAACGCUUGAGAGGUUUCCUUUUUCUAAGAACGUGUUUGGAAAGUUAUUGGGUCAGGAGCGUGGGGACUGAGAACCUUGGCGAGCAGGUCUCGAGGCCCCGCUCACAGGUCCCCCUGCAGCCUGGGAGGAAGAUGCCUUUCAUCCUGUGACCUGCUGCAACUCCUCUCCUGGCUCUGCUCUGCCCGGCAAACUCCAGUGUACCCUGUAUAACCCAGAUAAAGCAUCUGGCCUAGGAAGGCUGUGUGCGGUGCCAUCGGCAGCCUCAUUUUCAUCAUUCCACACUGCCUCAUCUUUCGUUCGUUUAGAACAACAGAGGAGAGAGUGUGAGCUUCCGAUGGGCCAGGAUUGGGACAUUUGUUUCUAUAUUUCAAUAUUUGCUGAAUUCACAUCAGCUUUCCUGAAAACGCCCAAAAUAAUAAAGGGCCUCCAUACACAGGCUCACAUGGGCCUCUUUGCAGCAAACAAAUCAGGCCCGUGGUCCCUCUGGGCAGCUCAGUUAUCAGGGCUCUGCGCUGAGAUGCAACUUGCAGACAACUUGAAUUAAGCAAAGCAGAAGGGCCUGCCCUGCCAGAUGGCCACACGAGGACUUGUAAUCACGCUUCCUGCAUUACCUGGAGGAAGCCCAGGGGUGUAGCAUCUGCAGGUACGGACGCUGAAAAGGAGGCUACAGGGGUCAGCGGGGCCGCUCUGGGGAUGGUCCUCCGGCUCUUCCCCAGGGACGGAGGGCGGUUCCUCCUGACCUGCUUCUGCCCACACCCCCUACUGGCCUUAUUCGUGUCUCUAAAUAACACUUGGGGCAUUUUGAUUCCUCUUAAACGCUUUCAGCAAACUCCAUCUAUACAAAUGGGAACAUACAAAACAAAUUCUCCCUCCCACAGAAAUCAGCCAGGUUCCCUCCUCCAUAACUGUAGCAGCCUGGGUUGCAGACCGUCUGUGGGAGCGUCUUCUUGAAAUCAGUGGCCUAUUUACCAGCAACGACUCUGCUGGAGCUUUGGAGAGGGGCCCCAACCCUCGAGGAGCGCCUUUGACGGGCCGGCCAGGGACACAGCCCAGGGAGGAGCACACUGUUCACCUCCAUCCAGCAGACUGUUUUCAGGCAGAAUCACUCAGAAAGAAAACCGCUGUAUUUUCUUCAUUCACUGUAACAGGGAAGAGCUAAAUGGGACUCCGGGUUGGAUCUGUUUCUUUGACUUUAACCUUUGCUUUUCGUUGCUUUUGUUAUUAUAAUCAUACGUAAUGGCCUCCUUGCCUCAGCACCUAGUCUCCGAUUCAUGGGCCUGUCGUGUGGCUCAUCUUACUGCUGUAUAAUCAUCCCCAAAGGUGGACCAGAGUGAUAAACUGGUACUUCCCUUGGCCGUGGCCAGCCACACCUGGCCAGAGGCGAGCACGGGGGCCCAGCAGGUGGUCUGAGAGCCCUUCCUGACUGGGACUGGGGCCAGCACCGUUCACUGGCAGAGUGACAGCCUGUGCUUACGAGACGGACGCCCUCCACAGCCAGCUGGGGCUGCAGGGGGAAGUGGCUUAUUCUGGACAGAUCUCUCUUGCUCACAGGCACGGGGCGCACACAGGGGACACGUCUGUUUGCUGGAGCAGAGCCGAUCAGGCGGAGAGUCUACGGAUGUCAACUUGACAUCCCUGGUUCAUUAUCACCGUUACAACAAAUGUUACAACAAACGUGUUUGUUUGUUUGUUUGUUUUUGACUGCUGAUGUGGAGGAAUGUUUUGUGGAGAAAGGUGAGGUGGGUGUGGAUUUGAUACGGAACAGGUGUGGGCUCCUGGGCACGAAAGCCUUUCUGUGUCCCCCAUUUCUUCAUUACAGGAAAUAGGCUUCAUUCAGCCUCCAGGACCUUCCCUGAGUUCCAAAGGGCAGGUUCAAACAGUUGCUAAUCAGGGAAGGGAGGGGAUGCAGAGACAAGGGAGGAGCAGUCAGGACACAACAGCGCAGCCUUGGGGCAGGUCCUGGUUCCCCUCAAGGGAUGCACACGACAAUAUCCUUGAGCUGUUUUGCAGGUACUGAAACCCCCUCCAGGCGGGAGAAGUUUACUGUCUGCUGCUCACAAGCAUGGAGACCCCAGACCGGUUGGAACCAGAAGGUUGAUGAUGCCGACUCCCGAUGACCUCACCACCAGCCAAUCAGAAGAGUGUCCACAAACUGACCACACCCUCUUUGAACCAUUUCUAUGAAACUCCUCAGGACCCCCUGCAGGGUGGGACACACAGUCUUGAGGGCAUUAGCCCGCUGUGGCCCCUUUUGCCUGGCAAAGCAAUAAAGCUAUUUUUUACUACU
Delphinapterus leucas (beluga whale) is the source of this 4196-nucleotide non-coding RNA. The record is from RefSeq and is a predicted model, not a curated record. Lineage: Eukaryota; Metazoa; Chordata; Mammalia; Artiodactyla; Monodontidae.